Molecule: long non-coding RNA, 539 nt
Organism: Cannabis sativa
Lineage: Eukaryota; Viridiplantae; Streptophyta; Magnoliopsida; Rosales; Cannabaceae
Exons: 3
Source: RefSeq, a predicted model, not a curated record
UCAGUCGUCUCCCUUACUUUUGCACAUCUGACUGAGUCGUUGAUCAGUCGUCUCCUCCGGCGAGUUCCCAUCCCAGCGGCCAGCUAUGUCCGGCGAGGCGCAUCCAAAUCUCUAGUGUCGAACGAUUCCCUUUCUUUCUCCAAGUGCCGACUCGAGUCUCACUCGACUCCUACAUUCUCUGUGUCUAUUCUCAUUUCUCAAUGGUUUAUUUUCUUUUUCCAUCAUCAGACCCUCCCUCUUCCUCGGACUCGGAGAAGACAGGGGCAGGCUAAGCAUGCUUUGUACGCUAGCUGUUUGUCUGGAAAUUUGGUGGAACAACUUUGGAAUUUUGCUUGGCUUUCUGUAAUUGCAAUGAUACAUCCAAGCCUUCUGCUGGUGGCAAUCAUGGGUUUCUUCACCAAGCUUGCAAUAAUCAUUGGAGGCCCUUUAGUUGGGAAGUUUCUGGAUUAUUUUCCAAGAGUACCUGCAUAUAAUUGCUUAAAUGUUGUCCAGGUAACUAGUUCAAUGAGUCUUAGCUUCAUGCUAUAUGAUUUAUCACU